This 274-nucleotide long non-coding RNA is filed under the name Lathyrus oleraceus (garden pea). Its description in RNAcentral is "Pisum sativum (pea) long non-coding RNA (PSAT_LNC031900)". The record is from RNAcentral. Lineage: Eukaryota; Viridiplantae; Streptophyta; Magnoliopsida; Fabales; Fabaceae.
UUGAUCUAGCUCUGAUUCCUAAGGCAUUGGCGUAUUUCAUUCAUCACAAUUUAAGCACUAAUCGGAGCGGGUCUGAAUUGAUAUCGGAGCGUGCCCUACUUCUUCAUCAGAUCCUGCAGAAGAAACAGGUGAAUAUUGGACGGAUCAUCGCUGCUGAUAUGGAUGAGAUUGCUCAGUCGCCAAAGAAAUCAUUAGGCCAUGCGACUGUGAUUCAUUUGCUGUGUAAAAAAUCUGGUGUACCGGAUUUCCCUGAUUCACUUAUGUUGCGACCGAC